Molecule: transfer RNA, 76 nt
Filed under: Coriobacteriia bacterium
Lineage: Bacteria; Bacillati; Actinomycetota; Coriobacteriia
Description: tRNA-Arg
Rfam family: tRNA
About the family: Transfer RNA (tRNA) molecules are approximately 80 nucleotides in length.
Source: RNAcentral
GCCCCCGUAGCUCAGGGGAUAGAGCGUCGGUUUCCUAAACCGUGCGUCGGAUGUUCGAAUCAUCUCGGGGGCACCA